CUACGGGACGCAGCAGUAGGGAAUCUUCGGCAAUGGACGGAAGUCUGACCGAGCAACGCCGCGUGAGUGAAGAAGGUUUUCGGAUCGUAAAGCUCUGUUGUAAGAGAAGAACGAGUGUGAGAGUGGAAAGUUCACACUGUGACGGUAUCUUACCAGAAAGGGACGGCUAACUACGUGCCAGCAGCCGCGGUAAUACGUAGGUCCCGAGCGUUGUCCGGAUUUAUUGGGCGUAAAGCGAGCGCAGGCGGUUAGAUAAGUCUGAAGUUAAAGGCUGUGGCUUAACCAUAGUACGCUUUGGAAACUGUUUAACUUGAGUGCAGAAGGGGAGAGUGGAAUUCCAUGUGUAGCGGUGAAAUGCGUAGGUAUAUGGAGGAACACCGGUGGCGAAAGCGGCUCUCUGGUCUGUAACUGACGCUGAGGCUCGAAAGCGUGGGGAGCAAACAGGAUUAGAUACCCCCGUAGUC
Molecule: ribosomal RNA, 464 nt
Filed under: uncultured bacterium
Lineage: Bacteria
Description: partial 16S ribosomal RNA
Rfam family: Bacterial small subunit ribosomal RNA
Source: RNAcentral